RNAcentral lists this ribosomal RNA (301 nucleotides) under uncultured bacterium. Its description in RNAcentral is "partial 16S ribosomal RNA". It matches the Rfam family "Bacterial small subunit ribosomal RNA", at positions 509 to 807 of the family's 1533-position model. The record is from RNAcentral.
CAGCCGCCGCGGUAAUACGGAGGAUGCGAGCGUUAUUCGGAAUCAUUGGGUUUAAAGGGUCUGUAGGCGGGCUAUUAAGUCAGGGGUGAAAGGUCUCAGCUUAACUGAGAAAUUGCCUUUGAUACUGGUAGUCUUGAAUAUCUGUGAAGUUCUUGGAAUGUGUAGUGUAGCGGUGAAAUGCUUAGAUAUUACACAGAACACCGAUUGCGAAGGCAGGGGACUAACAGACAAUUGACGCUGAGAGACGAAAGCGUGGGGAGCGAACAGGAUUAGAUACCCCGGUAGUCCCUGUCUCUUAUAC